Molecule: ribosomal RNA, 468 nt
Filed under: uncultured bacterium
Lineage: Bacteria
Description: partial 16S ribosomal RNA
Rfam family: Bacterial small subunit ribosomal RNA
Source: RNAcentral
GACGAACGCUGGCGGCGUGCUUAACACAUGCAAGUCGAACGGAAAGGCCCUGCUUUUGUGGGGUUCUCGAGUGGCGAACGGGUGAGUAACACGUGAGUAACCUGCCCUUGACUUUGGGGUAACUUCAGGAAACUGGGGCUACUACCGUAUAGGAGCUCCUGCUGCAUGGUGGGGGUUGGAAAGUUUCGGCGGUUGGGGAUGGACUCGCGGCUUAUCAGCUUGUUGGUGGGGUAGUGGCUUACCAAGGCUUUGACGGGUAGCCGGCCUGAGAGGGUGACCGGCCACAUUGGGACUGAGAUACGGCCCAGACGCCUACGGGAGGCAGCAGUGGGGAAUAUUGCACAAUGGGCGGAAGCCUGAUGCAGCAACGCCGCGUGCGGGAUGACGGCUUUCGGGUUGUAAACCGCUUUCGCCUGUGACGAAGCGUGAGUGACGGUAAUGGGUAAAGAAGCACCGGCUAACUACGUG